CAACUUUCAACAACGGAUCUCUUGGCUCUCGCAUCGAUGAAGAACGCAGCGAAAUGCGAUAAGUAAUGUGAAUUGCAGAAUUCAGUGAAUCAUCGAAUUUUUGAACGCACCUUGCGCUCCUUGGUAUUCCGAGGAGCAUGCCUGUUUGAGUGUCA
Molecule: ribosomal RNA, 155 nt
Filed under: Corticiaceae sp.
Lineage: Eukaryota; Fungi; Basidiomycota; Agaricomycetes; Corticiales; Corticiaceae
Description: 5.8S ribosomal RNA
Rfam family: 5.8S ribosomal RNA
About the family: 5.8S ribosomal RNA (5.8S rRNA) is a component of the large subunit of the eukaryotic ribosome. It is transcribed by RNA polymerase I as part of the 45S precursor that also contains 18S and 28S rRNA. Functionally, it is thought that 5.8S rRNA may be involved in ribosome translocation.
Source: RNAcentral